This is a long non-coding RNA of Cavia porcellus (domestic guinea pig), 4935 nucleotides long. RefSeq lists it as uncharacterized. The transcript has 3 exons. NCBI's taxonomy places the organism in Eukaryota, Metazoa, Chordata, Mammalia, Rodentia, Caviidae. The record is from RefSeq and is a predicted model, not a curated record.
UCUACAAGAGGAAAAGAAAGGGAACUAUAAAUGGUGAUUUGUGGACCAUGAAGGAGGAGAGAACAAGAAGUCAACAAGAAGCUAAAAUCUCCUGUGAGUUGUCACCAUGAGCGGGCUGACUGAGGCAAAGCCAGACGCCAACCCCUUCUGGCACACAGGCAAGGAGACAAGAAGAGCCAGUGUUCCUCCCUUGCCCCAUAAGUGACCAGCUGAUCCAGAGACACACAGGCUAUGCUGAUAGCUAAUAAGAGUCAAAGAAGUAUCUCCUGAGACAAAGAUGUGGCCACCCCUGGAAUUCAGACUCCACAGUCAUGUUUGGAAAAGAGAAAGCCUGGGGUCAUAAAACUGCUUGGAGAGAUGAAAACACUUCCUAGAAGAUAACUCAUUGCAAGGGAAGAAAAAAACAGGCACAACCACCUUGAUGCUGUCACAAAGCCCUCAUUACCAGUGUGAGAAGUAAUUUGGGACACAAUUUUGUGCCAGUCUCUCAUUAGCACCCAGGGAUUUACAUCUGGGUCCUAGGGAUAGAAAGGGCUUUGGACGAAACUCGAAAUAUGUUAGCUUGACUUGAUAGCUCCUCACAAAGUGUGGUGUGAGAGAGAUAGGGAAAGAGACCUUGGCCAAUAGACUAUUCUGAAACUUCAAAACUGCCAGCACACAUUAUUGUCAAGAGCCAGGCAUCACCAAGGUCAUGGAUGUGAUUCAAGACAGAUGUCUAUGGGAACAACAGUUCUGUCCAGUGGUAUGCCCUCAGGCCUGCAGGUGUGAUGAACUCCGGGAACCUGUUUGGGGCUCUCCCAAGGCAGCAUCAGUAUGGUGUCCUGCUAAGGAAGGUUCAGCGUGCUGGGGCUGGGGGAUGAGAUUCUUCCUUAUCAGAACUUCAGUCUGAAUUUCCAGGUUGGAACUGGCAGAGGACUAGGAAGGAGAGGAAGAUAGGAGGAACUCUUCAGAAGUAAGCAAAAACAGGGCUACUGAAUUUCUUUCCCAGGCCAGGUGUUGAUACGGCUAGAUGGAAAUGGUUGAAACCCGACCAGACACGUUUCCAAGUAUGCACGAAACUCAGAUGCAAAACUAGCAGCAGGCGGACAUUCAUUUCACUGAAGCAAGAGUUUCACUGGGAAUGUUCAACAUGAAAGUGGGAUCACUUUGCAAAUAGUCCAUAGAGCCAUCAACAGAUGAAUAAAGGAUAAACAUGGGUAAAGAAAAUGUGGUAUUAAUGUACAAUUGAAUACUACAUUGCCAUAAAGAAGGAUGAAUCAGACAUUUUUAGAUAAACAGAUGCACCCCGAGACCAUAAUUUUAAGUGAAAUAAACCAGACAUGCAAGUUUAUUACAUUGUUUCUUUUUUGUGAGAACUCAAAGAAUAAAUAGGAAGCAAAAUGGAGAAUGGAUAUUGGGAAGUAAAGAACUUGUUCAAAUGGAAAGAUGAACGAGGGAUGCAGUGGGGGAAAGAAAAGUAAGGAAAAAGGAUUUUUUAAAAAGAUAGUAGAAAAAAAAAAAAAAGAUGGGAAUCCCAGCAUCACACAUCCCAGAAACAGUCACCUCGGAAAAGUCCCAUUGAGACUUCAUGAGGCUUUGGAGGGACAUCUAGACACAAGACAAAACACAACUGAAAACUAAAAGUGGAAGGGGAGAGUUCUGAAGAUGGCAUCUUGAUAGGUAGCUGGGUAGAGAGCUUCUCUGAGAAAAACAACUCAGAUGCUAGAAUUUAACAACAUGGAGAAGACCAGAUGAAAGGAGAGGGAUUCUCAUGACCCAGGAAGAAACUGAGAGAGGAAAAAAAGAAAGAAAGGUAGGAAAAACAUGAAUGAAAGACUGGAACCAGACACACUCACUGGCACUGGUCCCACGCCGUGCUGGGCGUGUCGUGGAGUCAGAAGAUUCACGGUUGCACGGAAGCUGCAGCCUCCGAAAUUGGGAGUUGGUGAGUCCCGGGCCUUUGGCGGAAGGACGCGGCACAGCAUAGAGUGGAGCCAAGGUGGACAGCUGCAUUAAUUCAUGGUGAGUGCUGGAAAUUGGUUCCCCCUGCACAUGGGGCUGGCUGGAGGACCUACUGGAGUUGGGUAGGACAGGCCUGAACCCAGAAAUGCAGUGGCAUCAGUCAGUUGCCCCUGGCCCAGAGAGGACUGGUGGGAUCUGCUUGGGCUGGGUCACGCCCCUGGUCAGGACCCAAUAGCCAGGGAUGAAACUGUCCUGAACCUGUGAUGUUGGCACAGCACAGACUAAUGUGAUGAAGGCACUCACCGGUUGACUGGCUCAGAGGACAGGGGCCAGCCCACAGUUCCUGCAUGCACCUCAGAUAACAGCAAACUGGGGAAGGCAGCAAGCCCCCAGCCAGCAUGCUUUAGAAAAACCAUAAGCAAUAUGGAGAGGGCCUGAGACCUCCACCACACACCUGUCUGAAAGAAACCAGAAACAUGACAAGAGAAAGAAAUAAGAAAAAGCCUCCAGCCACUGACCCUGGGAAAAUAAGUCCAGGAGAAGUAAAUACAGAAGAGAUCCAGUGCAGCAAUCAUUCAAUUUUGCCACAACACCAGCAGACAUGAAGAAAUACCUUCGUGACCUCAUAGACGAACUUAAAACUGAAAUUCUAAUCCAAGUGAGACAAGAUAUAAAAAGAUUAAUAGAAGAAAUGCUAAGCCCUUCUCAAGAAGAUACAGAUGGAAGAAUAGAGGAGCCCAGAAAAAGAAGAAAAACCUUUGGUGAAGAGUAUAAACAAAAUCUAGAAUACAUGAAACAGAUCCAAAGAGAUUACCAGGAAAUUAAAACUCCAUUGAAAGCUGGCAAAAUGCCUCAAAGAAACUAACAUUAGCCUUUCAAAAUUUGAAGAUAGAUUUGCAAUGUGUGAUUGUGAAAGAAAAGACCUCUUAAAAAUAACAAGUAACCAGGAAGUAACAAUACAAAGCCUAGAAGACGACAAGAGGAUCUACAACUUAAGAAUAAAAAAUGUGAGCGAAGAAGCAGGUGUAACCACAAAUGAAUUACAAAGGCUAUUCACAGAAAUAAUUAAGGAAAACUUCCCAAUCAUAGGAAAAAGAAAUGAUAUCCAGAUAAAUGAGGCAUACAGAACUCCAGCCAACUACAACCAAAUCAGAUCUACACCCAGACAUAUAAUAAUCAAGAUCCCAGAAAUUCACCACAAGAACAGAAUAUUAAAAGCAGUCAGAGAAAAGAAACAGAUUUUCUAUAAGGGAAAAUCCAUCAAAAUAAUGACAGACUUCUCAACACAAACAAUCAAAUCAAGAAGAGUCUGGAGUGAAAUAGUCCAAGCCCUGAAAGAAAAUAACCUCCAACCCAGAUUGAUAUACCCUGAAAAACUGUCUCUUAAAAUUCAUGGAGAAACAAGAUGUUUCCAAGACAAGGAGGAACUGUGGGAGUUCAUGGCCACCAAUCCAACCCUACAAAAAAUACUGAAGGACAUUCUACAGAGAGAUAGAAAAAAAAUACCAGGAUUCCAGCAACAGUGGCAGCGAGGCCUCAAUGAACAGGGCAGACAGUGGUAAAAAGUUUCAACACCACUUAAAUAGAUAACAGAUUGCUCCCCUAAUCUAAAAAACUAAAGAAGUUAGUGGGACCCAAAAUAUACAAAGCACCCUGAAAAAGGGAAAAGGAAGGAUUGCCUAAAAAAGGAAGGCAGAGGACAUUGUUAAUAGUGUAUCAGGAUUUAAAAGCCACAGUAGUCUUAUCACUCUGUUUAGUUUGAUUAUAUUUUGUUCCGGUCUGUCUACUCAUACUAGACUUCAGGGCACAGACAGCUAUCCCAAAAAUAGCAGGAUAUACCAUGGUAAAUAUCAUUAAUUCCUAUUAACUUAAACUGAAGCCCUAUAUUACUUGCAUUGUCUUACUAUAACUGAUCUUAUUUGAAUCUGGUUUGUUAGACUGAUUUUAUUCAAAUUUGGUAUGCUUGAUAGUAUCAAGUCUAGGAGUGGAGGCAACUACUCUGAAGAUGACAAGAUGCAAUGAGAUACUCAUUACGGUUGGAUUAUUAACUGCUUUUGAAGUCCUACAAUGUCUCCAAUGUUGUGUUUUUAUUAAAAUUGCUCUGUAAUGCUAUGUUCAAUUAUAUUAUGUCUGAUAAUGUAGACAAUUCUAUUGAAAAUAACAAGAGACUGCAUAGUAACUACUGUAGAUCACCUAAUAUUGUGAUUUUAUAUGUCUUUUUCGUUUCAUGUUUUUCUAGGAAUUUGUUUGUUGUCUUGUUUUGAUCUAUUUUCCCCUAUAAUACAGAAAGGAUAGGUAUACAUGUAGAGAUUCACAUGUGUGGAGAAUUUGUUAACAGUUAUGGAAACAGACUAUAUAAUGCACGAUGUAAUGAACAGAUACUCUGAAGAAGAAGAGACACUAAGAUACUCAGUGCUAAUUAUGUAGCAUUAUGAUAUGAAAUCUAGCAACACUACUAUUCACUGUUCAGAGUGAUAUUAGUAUAGCCUUAUUUUAAUUUCAGCAUACAUAAAGAUAUGGACAGAUACUUUGAAGAGAACGAGAGACAUUAGCAGCCAUUGUUGAAUUCCCCAUUGUUUGGUCUUGAAGACCUAAAAAGCAUUCAUCAUCCUGUUCUGAUUAAUUUAGUACUACAAUGUUAAUUUAGUACUAUAAUGUUCAGUAUGUAUUCACUGUGUGUGAAGAUGUGGACAACAAUUUGGAAGAAAACAAGAGACAAUAUGAUAGAUAGAUAAGAAAACAAGAGACAAUAUUGCUUUGAAAUCCAUGUUUCUUAAAAUUGCUUCUUUAUGAUGUUUUGUUCUAUUUAAUUUUACCCUCUUUAAAAUAAAAAAAUUAAAAAAUAAAGGAAAAGAUGGAAACAAAGAUAUAUGAAUAGAGAAAGGAAGAAGCAUUGAAAGGACAAGAGAGAAAUAGGAAAAAAGAAGUAUUAUGUACAGGUACAAAUUCCCUGUGAUGAAUAUUACCAUUAUGUAUGACAAACUUGUAUUAAUA